Psammomys obesus (fat sand rat) is the source of this 910-nucleotide long non-coding RNA. RefSeq lists it as uncharacterized. Lineage: Eukaryota; Metazoa; Chordata; Mammalia; Rodentia; Muridae. The transcript has 5 exons. The record is from RefSeq and is a predicted model, not a curated record.
UAGGAGAUUCAGCCAUGGGAGAAGUCCAGGAAAACUCAAGAGAGAGGAGCAGGAGCAGGAAAGCUACAAAGUGUUUGGAAAGAAGGAAAGCCACAUUGACUCUCCAUGCUACAAGUUCCCACCACUAUCAUUUGUCUCCGUUUGCCCAAGACUGACGGCACUGACUGAGCUAAAGACAGUUUGUUUUCAAUAAGAAGUCACAAGUAAACCAGAAUGAGUUGGACACCCUAUAUGUCCUUAAAGCCAAAGUCUCAGAUCUGUACAGGAAUUCCUCAUGUUGUUAAAGAUAACAAAAUGAAGCUACGUCUGUGCCCCCUCCCCAGCAUUCCUGGGGGGUUAUCCUGAGACCCAUCUUCAAGCAUUGUUGGUGUGAAAUAUGGGGCUGCUUCAGAUUGUCCACAGCAACUGAUUAUGAUUUGCCUCAUGCUCUGGCAGGAAUGUGAUUUUGCCAGUGGAACAUAGCUUCUGCAACUGUGUGACAAUUGGAAUUCUGACAGGAGCCUAGCAUAACUGUCUUCUGAGAGGCUCCACCCAGCAGUGGAUCAAAACAGAUCCUAAGACUCACAGCCAAACAUUGCGCAAAGCGUAAGAAGUCUUAUAGGAAAGUGGAAGGGAGAAUAAAAGGACCUGGAGGGGACAGGACACCUUCCUAAAUGAGCACUGCCUGAGGGAAUGACUCACAAGAAGACCAACAGAGCCAACUAACCAGGUACCAAAGGGACUUGCGAAGACUCAAGCACCAUGCAUGGACUGAACCUAGGCCUUCUACACAGAUGUAGCCAAUGGGCACUGCGGGCUUCAGGUGGGUUCUCUAGUAAGGGGAGCAGGAGCUGUCUUAGACAUGGACUGUAUUGCCUGCUUUUUGAUCACUUCCCCUUGGUGGGGCAGAUUGACAGAUUUGACUUGAUAA